Molecule: unclassified non-coding RNA, 4066 nt
Filed under: Hevea brasiliensis (rubber tree)
Lineage: Eukaryota; Viridiplantae; Streptophyta; Magnoliopsida; Malpighiales; Euphorbiaceae
Source: RNAcentral
AAAAAUAUUUCAAAGGGAGAUGGUAUGUAAGCCAUCAAAUUUGAUAGAGAAUCCCAAACCUGUAGAACAUUAAAUUGAGCAUCGAAACUGAAAUAACCAAUACUAACAAUACAAGCAGAAAAUUAUUGAAACAUCGUGUAUAAAUUUUACAAACUUGUGUGUACAGAGUCCAGCAUGUUAAACCAAAAAAAAGACAGUAGCUUCCUUGACAGGCUUAUCGCCAUGCAGUACGUACCAAAGUUAAAAGAAAUCAGGCUCCAUGAACUAGAUUAAAUUUGAAAAGAAAAUUGGGAAGAAAAAGAAGAGGGCGGGUAAGGGAACAGCACUCAAAUGUUUUUGAGAGACUAGAAGAGGAAUGAAGGCAGAAACUUGCCAAACUCUUCAGUGGCCAAAGCUACCAUUUCAAGCAAUGCGUGCUACUUCGGAUAAUGGACAUUGUAUUACCAUCAAUUUCCAUGGAGAAUGUUAAAAUUUGAUGGUCCAACAGUGUCGAAAAAACCUCGUAUUGAUACCUCUGGUACAGAGAUAUUUUUACUCAGCAAUUCAUGGUCUAUAAAGAUGACAAUCACUGUUAUAUCAUCAUGGAAAAACCGCCUGCUUCCCUUAUCAAUUUUCUUAAGAUCAUCAUAUCUCAUCUCCCUCUUCUUAGCUGCCUCUUUUAAAGCCGUUUUAACAAGUCUUCUUGCAAUUCCAGUGCGUGGAUAAUUAUACACAAUUUCCACAGCUUCUUGGUUUGUCAUGUGUUCCCAAAGCCCAUCAGACGCAAAUAUGAGAAAUUGAUCAUGAGGUUGUAGUUCGUGCACAGAAAUUGAUGGUUCAGAGCUUAAAAUUGGCCUGUUAAAAGGUUCACGAAGGCGGAACUUCGCAUACAAGGGCUCUCUGUUAAAUUCAGCCUUCUUUAGAUAUACAUCACCAAUGGAUCUAGAAACCUGUGAUGUAAAACUUUCUGUACAUAUUAAAACUUGCUAUACAUGUGUAUGCUCAUGCAUGUGUCUCUACGCAAACAUAUACUGCACAAAAAACAUUGUGAUGACUAAAGCCAAUAUCAUAUAUCAACUCCUAAUUUAUCAAAAAAGAGUGAGUUAAAAACAUUUCUGUGGUGCACACAUAUACUGCACAAUAUGAACUUCCACAUUCAACAAUAAAGUGAUACCCAUCCUUAUCCAAAGGAAGAAAUUAAACUACCAGUUUAUCAAUUUUUCUAUCUUCACCUUAACUAUUAUUGUGCAACCUUCAAGCCAACAUUAUAAAUUAACUCAUAGUUAUAUCAAAAUAGCAAAAAUGUGUAAUAAAUUUGAAUACAUUUGCUUUCAACAUUGAUGAUACCACUAUUAGUGGUUCUUCAUUAUUUUCAACACUAUGAUAUAUCUUAUUUUAUAAAGGUCCAAAGAAUCAUAAGAUCCAAUAUACUGGAAAUCUUGGACUUGGAAACCAUUGGAGGACUUAUUGCAACAAGUAUUCCCAUGCUGUUGAUUCAUAUUUGCUAUAGGCCUAUCAGCAAUUGUAGACUGUUCUUUAAAUAAAGCAUCCUGGCAUGAUAACAGCACUAAACAUUAAAAUUGCAUUAAACUAGUCUUCCAUAAUUUCUGCAUUUGUUCUUUCAGUAUCCACUACACAUUUAAAUGUGCCAAAUCUUCACCAUACUUUGUACAGAUUCCAAUACCUCAUUGCAGUCCACAAAAGUUAAUUGACUUCAUCCAGCAAAUGACAACCCCAAAUAUGAUCUAAGACUAGUUCUUGAUAUUCGAUCAUGCCAAUGGAUGAUGUUGACAUCCUUUUGUUUUCUAAAAAGCCCAACCACACUCCUCAAUGAAAGUAUCUUACCAGAAAAAAAAAACUAAGAUUAAAGGUUACCACUAUCAUAGCGUGUAUCUUCUCUUUCAAAUUACCUAAAGUGCUCAUUACUUGUUCAUAUCCAUGUUGAUUACUCUCAUAUGAUCCCUUUGUUAGAGAUCUUAACUUUUGCACAAAGCAACUGAAGUCUCCCUCCAGUUGCUCAGAACCUAAAAGUUCAAAGGAAUAUAGUUUAAAUUCCUUUCGCCUUUCCUGAGGUUUAACGGUAACUGGUGAGUAUAUAAUUCCAUCCCACCCAAAGCUCUACCAGGAAAACUCUAACCAAAUUUAUGUUGAAGCCAUAUAACUUCCCAUGAUAUAAGAGAAUAUGAUUUGCAGCAAAUUUGAGUCAAAACUUCAUACAUAAAAAUCUUUCAGAAGUCAGAACUAUUCAGUGUCCAGUGAAUUCAAACAAUAAAAAAAAUUCAAUCACUCAAAAAUACCAGCCCUUGCUUUGUCCAUUAUAUCAUAAACUGUGAUUAGGCACUAUGAACAAUGAACACAAGAACAGCAAAUCCUUAAACCCAUGUUCCCUUUGAGAAAAACGGACACCAAGAAAGGCACAUGAUGCUUUAAAGAAAAUAUUCAAUCCACUUAUAAUACUUGAAAAUUUCUUUCACAGCAUUCAAAUAAAUAAGUUUUCCAUUUGAUACUGAAAAUGGCACAAGAUAUCAAGAGAAGACGAAUUAUAAAGGGCCAGUUAUAUGGAACAUCUACCACAAUUGUCCAAGCAAAGAUUUUACCUGUAUCAGGCCCUUCACUCGCCAUACAUUAUGUUUCAAAACCACAAUCUGCGAAUCAUCUGGAUGCAUAGAAUGCAUCUCCUCUCUGACAGACUCUAUAGCCACAUUAUGCUCUGAUGACAGCUGGAUGGCAAGAACUUCCCCAGUUGCUUUGACAAGCCUACCAAGGACAGCCCGUGAAUCACCAAGGUUAGCAAUGUAGAGGGUACCCCCACAAAUGAUACCCACCAGACAACAAGAUCCAACUGCUGCAAUCUGAGGCUUCAUGGGCCACUGUUUAGUGACAAGAGAAAGAAACCCCUCUUCAGUUGCUUGAUAUGCUUUCUUAAUCACAUCUACAGACAUAGAUUGAUGUUCUGAGGUGAACCUUUUUAGGUGCUGAAACAGAUGAUCAUUAAUGUAACGCGAUGUCUCUGGCCCUCCAUGACCAUCAUAUACACCAACAAAGGUGCCAUAAGGGCCAGACUCAAAAGUGCUCAAGGGACCAGACUCAAGCUGGCUCUGAUCCUCGAGCAAAUUAUUGGCCUGAAGAACAGCCAUAGAGAAUUCACCAUGCAAGUGCUGCCCAGUGUCUUUAUACCAAAGCAGCCCAUCUUGCCGGCCUGCUGCAUCCGAAUUCGCGUGGACAUAACGUUCUGAGGACGGCCGCCAGCAGGCCCUCAAAAAGUUCAUCAACCUUGAUAACAUCCCUCAUCUCACCGGGGCCAGCCACCGAUUCCUCCACAUCCAAAAUUGGAUGCAAUACUACUCCGUCCAAUAAACCCCACCAGUCUCCCCUCCUACACACCAAAGAAUUCAAAGAUGCUGUAAAAAGAACAUAACUUUGAAGGGGGGAAAAAAAAACAAGAAAUAACGAAUUCUCAAAUUGAAGAAUUAAGCUUCGAUCCUAAAGUUCAGUAAACAAUCUCAUAAAUUAAGAAAAAUGGAUGCCUGAAAAUCUAAAAUAAGAAGGUCAAAUCUAAGUCCACAUUCCACACCUCAAAGUCAUAAACCGUACAAAUAUUCAUUCCAACAUGAUUUUUCGAAGUUGUUUGGAGCCCAAAAAAGAAAAGGAUUUGGAACUCAAUCGCCAAUCACAUAACAAGUCAGAAAAAUAUGAAGAGAAACUCACAAUACAAAGUAAGCUUAUCUGCGCGGUUUCUGGUGAGCUACUAAAUUACAGCAGAUGAAAAGGAUGGAGAUCCAAAAGAAACAGAGAGGUACAUGUGGGUAUAAAAGGGUUAGAUCUAUAGAUCCAUCAAAUCAAAAGUUUAAAUAUAUUUCAGGGGGGGGGGGAUGGUACGUGUUAUGUUCAUUUGGCUUCUUGAAUUUUCGCUCGCUUUAAACUCUCCUUAACUUGUGGUUUUUGCUUUUUUCCCUUGGUGGGUAUUUGGGCGAUACGGGAUAACUGAGAGAAGAAAGAAAGAGAAUUGUAUGAAUCAGUGCAAUCGAAGGAACCGCAAAAUAAAAUAAAAUAAAAACUGAGUUCUCUCUGAGCAGACAAAAAGUCC